CGAGGAGUUUAUUCUUUUUUUAUGUUGACUUGGUUCAGCUUGGUUGAUGUUGGUCUUCCUUGUUUGAGGUAUAUUGUUGUUGAUGUUGGAAAACAAGGAAGAGAAAGGUGUAAUGGAAAACAAAAAGGGGGGGUUUAGACUGCAGGUGGCCGUGAUGUUGAAGGGUUUAAUUGGGAUUACCCCUAAUUCCUUUUUUAAUCCAACCCUAAUUAUAUUCAUUUACACCUCAUCAUUAUAUUUUUUUUUAAAACAAAUUACAAUGCCACAUCAUCAAACAUUACACACCUGGCAGUUCUGCCGUUAGUGAACUUAACAUCGUUACCAAAAAGGACCAACUUGAACAGUUUUUGCGAAAGGUAGGACUAAAG
This 368-nucleotide long non-coding RNA is filed under the name Vigna radiata. RNAcentral's name for it is "long non-coding RNA (VRAD_LNC002182)". Lineage: Eukaryota; Viridiplantae; Streptophyta; Magnoliopsida; Fabales; Fabaceae. The record is from RNAcentral.